GAACGGGUGAGUAACGCGUGAGGAACCUGCCUCAAAGAGGGGGACAACAGUUGGAAACGACUGCUAAUACCGCAUAAGUCCACGGUGCCGCAUGGCACAGAGGGAAAAGGAGCAAUCCGCUUUGAGAUGGCCUCGCGUCCGAUUAGCUAGUUGGUGAGGUAACGGCCCACCAAGGCAACGAUCGGUAGCCGGACUGAGAGGUUGAACGGCCACAUUGGGACUGAGACACGGCCCAGACUCCUACGGGAGGCAGCAUG
RNAcentral lists this ribosomal RNA (257 nucleotides) under uncultured bacterium. RNAcentral describes it as "partial 16S ribosomal RNA". It matches the Rfam family "Bacterial small subunit ribosomal RNA", at positions 100 to 353 of the family's 1533-position model. The record is from RNAcentral.